AGUGAACGCUGGCGGUAGGCCUAACACAUGCAAGUCGAACGGCAGCACAGUAAGAGCUUGCUCUUACGGGUGGCGAGUGGCGGACGGGUGAGGAAUACAUCGGAAUCUACUUUUUCGUGGGGGAUAACGUAGGGAAACUUACGCUAAUACCGCUUACGACCUACGGGUGAAAGCAGGGGAUCUUCGGACUUUGCGCGAUUGAAUGGUCCGAUGUCGGAUUAGCUAGUUGGAGGGGUAAAGGCCCACCAAGGCGACGAUCCGCAGCUGGUCUGAGAGGAUGAGCAGCCACACUGGAACUGAGACACGGUCCAGACUCCUACGGUAGGCAGCAGUGGGGAAUGGUGGACAAGGGGCUCGAGCCUGAUCCAGCCCUGCCACGUGGGUGAAGAAGUCCUUCGGGUUGUAAAGCCCUUUUGUUGGGGAAGAAAAGCAGCAGGUUAAUACCCCACUGUUCUGACGGUACCCAAAGAAUAAGCACCGGCUAACUUCGUG
This 492-nucleotide ribosomal RNA is filed under the name uncultured bacterium. RNAcentral describes it as "partial 16S ribosomal RNA". It matches the Rfam family "Bacterial small subunit ribosomal RNA", at positions 29 to 507 of the family's 1533-position model. The record is from RNAcentral.